RNAcentral lists this ribosomal RNA (497 nucleotides) under uncultured bacterium. Its description in RNAcentral is "partial 16S ribosomal RNA". It matches the Rfam family "Bacterial small subunit ribosomal RNA", at positions 28 to 507 of the family's 1533-position model. The record is from RNAcentral.
GAUGAACGCUGGCGGCGUGCCUAAUACAUGCAAGUCGAGCGAACAGACGAGGAGCUUGCUCCUCUGACGUUAGCGGCGGACGGGUGAGUAACACGUGGAUAACCUACUUAUAAGACUGGGAUAACUUCGGGAAACCGGAGCUAAUACCGGAUAAUAUAUUGAACCGCUUGGUUCAAUAGUGAAAGACGGUUUUGCUGUCACUUAUAGAUGGAUCCGCGCCGCAUUAGCUAGUUGGUAAGGUAACGGCUUACCAAGGCAACGAUGCGUAGCCGACCUGAGAGGGUGAUCGGCCACACUGGAACUGAGACACGGUCCAGACUCCUACGGGAGGCAGCAGUAGGGAAUCUUCCGCAAUGGGCGAAAGCCUGACGGAGCAACGCCGCGUGAGUGAUGAAGGUCUUCGGAUCGUAAAACUCUGUUAUUAGGGAAGAACAAAUGUGUAAGUAACUAUGCACGUCUUGACGGUACCUAAUCAGAAAGCCACGGCUAACUACGUG